RNA transcript from Conger conger (European conger), 3189 nucleotides. It is a transcript of the gene named coronin-1A-like, with no coding region annotated. The record is from RefSeq and is a predicted model, not a curated record. The transcript is spliced from 13 exons. Lineage: Eukaryota; Metazoa; Chordata; Actinopteri; Anguilliformes; Congridae.
AAAGGACUCCUCUGGAGCCUUGUUCAAACGGUUCGUUCUCCGCUGACGAAGUCCACCAAAAUCCGGAUCAGUUCACCUAUUUACAGACCACAAUGGCCAAGCAGGUUGUCAGGGCCAGUAAGUUCCGCCAUGUCUUUGGCCAAGCUGUGAAAGCUGACCAGUGCUACGAUGACAUCAGGAUCUCUCAGAUGACCUGGGACAGUAACUUCUGCUCUGUCAACCCCAAGUUUGUAGCUGUGAUCGUGGAUGCCAGUGGUGGAGGUGCUUUCAUGGUCCUCCCUCUGAACAAGUCUGGCCGUAUUGACAAGUCAUACCCCACUGUCUGUGGACACACUGGCCCGGUGCUAGAUAUUGAAUGGUGUCCCCACAAUGACAACAUCAUCGCCAGUGGUUCAGAGGACUGCAGUGUUAUGAUUUGGGAAAUUCCAGAUGGAGGUCUAAUAAAGCCCCUGACAGAGCCAGUGGUCAUGCUAGAGGGACAUUCCAAAAGAGUUGGCAUCCUCAGCUGGCACCCUACUGCCCAUAAUGUGCUCCUAAGUGCAGCCUGUGACAAUGUGGUGAUCCUGUGGAACGUGGUGUGUGGAGAGGCAGUGGUGCGGAUCGAGUCCCUGCACCCCGACCUCAUCUACAGUGCGUGCUGGAACCUGGACGGCUCCCAGAUUCUCACCUCCUGCAAAGACAAGAUGGUCCGCAUCUUGGACCCUCGAAAGGGCACUGUCAUUGCUGAGAAGGAAAAGCCCCAUGAAGGCUCACGGCCAGUGAGGGCAGUGUAUGUGUCUGACGGAAAGAUCUUGACCACAGGUUUCAGCCGUAUGAGCGAGAGGCAGGUGGCGCUUUGGGACCCGAAGAACUUUGGUGAGUCCCUGACCCUGCAGGAAUUGGACACAAGCAGCGGGGUGCUCCUGCCUUUCUUUGAUCCUGACACAAGCAUUGUGUACCUCUGUGGCAAGGGUGACUGCAGUAUCCGGUAUUUUGAGGUUACUGAUGAGGCACCCUAUGUUCACUACCUCUCCAUGUACAGCAGCAAGGAGAGCCAAAAGGGCAUGGGCUACAUGCCCAAAAGGGGACUGGAGGUCAACAAGUGUGAAAUUGCCAGGUUCUACAAGCUUCACGAGAGGAAGUGUGAGCCCAUUGUAAUGACUGUUCCCCGCAAGUCUGAUCUCUUUCAAGAGGAUCUGUACCCUGACACAAUAGGUCCAGAGCCUUCAGUGGAGGCCUCUGAUUGGUUUUCAGGUAAAGAAGGCAAGCCAAUUCUAAUCUCUCUGAAAGAUGGAUUUGUGGCAACCAAAACAAAAGAAUUCAAAGUUCACAAGAGCCUGAUGAGUACCACCACUGCUACCUCUGUGCAUCAGCAUGGUGACAGCACGGAAGUGAAUUGUCUGCAGGAAGAGUUGCGGAAGCUAAAGGUAGCAGUGGAACAGUUGACUAAAAGAGUGGAAUCAUUGGAGACCAAGAACUCAUGAAGAAUGGAAUAAAUAUACCUGACAUAAGCAGCUGAAGAUUUAACAUGCAAGAAGCAUCGUUGAAAUGGCUAUAGCAAAGGUGAGCAAAAGUAUUGGAACAUGUGACUGACAGGUGUUUCUUGUUGCCGAGAUGUGUCCUGUUAGACUGUUUGGUUGAACAAUAAAUAGUUCUGAAUGUCUACUCUUGGUUUUAGCCUCGGGUUUUGCCUGUGAAGACUGCAUUUUUGUUAGAAAACUUAAAGAGCAGCAAUAUAGAGGCUAUACCACAAGAUGCCAACAGUAGUUAGAAUGAGUUGGUACUAGAUUCAUCAGUAGUAAGAAUCAUUAGGAUUUACAGCAAUGAGCCACAAAAGUUCUGGAGCAAAGUUUUAUAGACUGAUGAGACCAGAAUGAACCUCUACCAAAGUGAUGGAAAGGCCAAAGUGUGGACAAAUGCAUGGCUGCUUCUGGAGUGGGCUCACUAAUCUUUACUGAUGAUAUAACUCAUGGCAUAUAACUCAUGAGAUGGCAGCAGCAGGAUGAAUUCAAAAGUCUACAAAAACAUUCUGUCUGUCAACUUACAGAGAAAUGCGUCCAAACUAAUUGGGAGGAACUUCAUCAUGCAGCAAGCAAUGACCGGAAACACACUGGCAACACAACAAAGGGAGAAGAAGGGGAAGGCUUUCGACUGUCCAAGUCAAUCACCAGACCUUAACCAAACUGAGCAUGCAUUUCACCUCCUGAAGAGGAGAUUGAAGGGAAAAAAACCCCAAAACAAGCAACAACUGAAAAAGGCUGCAGUAAAAGGCUGGAAAGGCAUCACAAAAGAAGAAUGCAACAGUUUGGUGAUGGCAAUGGGUUGCAGGCUUGGUGCAGUUAUUGCAAGCAAGGGAUACGCUACCAAAUAUUAAGUGUUAUUUACUUAAAUACUCUCUGUUCUAAUAUUUUUGUUCACCUAAAAAUUGGGUGUUCUGAUUCCAAAGGUGCCAUGUUCUACGUAUGUGACAAAGUAGGUGAGAACACACCAUUUGUCCCCAUUGCCAUCAUCAUUGCCAUUUGAAUUGUUUGUUAGCCAUAAUUCCAUCACUUAUUUGCAUUAUGUUUCAUUACAGUUCACAUAACAUCAGCAUCUCUGGGUAAAGGAAAAUACUGACAAGUAUUAUAAGUUUAGUUAAUUGUUUCUUGGGUUAGUUCUAUGUUUCAUAAGUUAAUUACGGUCUUCUUUGUUUCCAAUCCUAACAUACUCACCAUGUGGUCCAGAGGCAAAAGGAGGAAGCAGCCAAACACUUCCUGUAUUUGUAUCCUAGGUGACAUCAUGAGUGAUGUCACGGGACCAGACCAAGUAUGGGGGGGGUAGGAAAUGUUUAGUAAGUUAUGUAUGUAUAUUGAUUGUGAUUUGUUUAUGUGAUUACAGAUAUAUGUUAUAUAGUAAGCCAUGUGAACGGUUUCGGUUGGGCUAAAUGAGGACAAGGAAUGGUUAAUAAUUGUAUCACUUACCUGUGUUCAGGAGAGACACCUGCGGGACUGGUAUAACCUAGAUUGUCUGGGUUUGGGGUUGAUUGAAGGCCUAUUUAAAGAGUUGCUGUUUAGCUGCUGGGGAGGUGGGACGUCAGUAUGUAGCUGGGUACACGUGAUGUUGUUAUGGGCUGUUAGUAUGAUCUGAAGUUUUGUUCAGUUAAGCCAAGUUACUGGUUAAUUUCUUCUUCUUUUUUUUUUUUUUGUGUUUUAUAUAUAUAUUUUUGGUUGC